RNAcentral lists this ribosomal RNA (429 nucleotides) under Verrucomicrobiota bacterium. Its description in RNAcentral is "Verrucomicrobia bacterium partial 16S ribosomal RNA". It matches the Rfam family "Bacterial small subunit ribosomal RNA", at positions 355 to 776 of the family's 1533-position model. The record is from RNAcentral. Lineage: Bacteria; Pseudomonadati; Verrucomicrobiota.
UAGGGAAUCUUCCGCAAUGGACGAAAGUCUGACGGAGCAACGCCGCGUGAGUGAAGAAGGAUUUCGGUUCGUAAAACUCUGUUGUUAGGGAAGAAAAAAUGUAUAGUAACUAUAUACAAAAGAGACGGUACCUAACCAGAAAGCCACGGCUAACUACGUGCCAGCAGACGCGGUAAUACGUAGGUGGCAAGCGUUGUCCGGAAUUAUUGGGCGUAAAGCGCGCGCAGGUGGUUUAGAAAGUCUGAUGUGAAAGCCCACGGCUCAACCGUGGAGGGUCAUUGGAAACUAAUAAACUUGAGUGCAGGAGAGAAAAGUGGAAUUCCUAGUGUAGCGGUGAAAUGCGUAGAGAUUAGGAGGAACACCGGUGGCGAAAGCGGCUUUUUGGCCUGCAACUGACACUGAGGCGCGAAAGCGUGGGGAGCAAACAGG